GAUGAACGCUGACAGAAUGCUUAACACAUGCAAGUCAACUUGAAUUUGGGUUUUUAUCUUAGGUUUGGGUGGCGGACGGGUGAGUAACGCGUAAAGAACUUGCCUCCCAGCUAGGGACAACAUUUGGAAACGAAUGCUAAUACCUAAUAUUAUGAUAAUAGGGCCUCCUAUAAUUAUGAAAGCUAUAACCGCUGUGAGAGAGCUUUGCGUCCCAUUAGCUAGUUGGGGAGGUAACGGCUCACCAAGGCGAUGAUGGGUAGCCGGCCUGAGAGGGUGAUCGGCAAAUAGGGAACUGGGAAACGCCCCUUACUCUUACGGGAGACAGCGGUGGGAAAUAUUGAACAAUGGAGCGAGAGUCUGAUCGCGCCAUUCUGUGUGCGCUAUGGAGUUUUUCGGAAUGUAAAGUUCUUUCAGUUGGGGAGAAACAAAUGACGGUACCAACAGAAGAAGUAACGGCUAAAUACGUG
Molecule: ribosomal RNA, 467 nt
Filed under: uncultured bacterium
Lineage: Bacteria
Description: partial 16S ribosomal RNA
Rfam family: Bacterial small subunit ribosomal RNA
Source: RNAcentral